RNA transcript from Manihot esculenta (cassava), 1535 nucleotides. It is a transcript of the gene named NADPH-dependent pterin aldehyde reductase, with no coding region annotated. The transcript has 6 exons. The record is from RefSeq and is a predicted model, not a curated record. Lineage: Eukaryota; Viridiplantae; Streptophyta; Magnoliopsida; Malpighiales; Euphorbiaceae.
AAAAUCUGCCGCACAAUAUAUAAACCAGAAAGACCCAGAGAGCGGCGAAACAAAUCCCUAACAAUUGCAAUUCAAAAUACGCAGCCUGCGAGUAAUUUCAUUUACUUUCACCGUCCAGCUCCGGCUGUAGAUGACAAUGAAAACGCCGUCGUUAGGGGUGGUUAACAGAGCCGCAGCUGGAGCUGGUGGAGCGAGCUCUGUGGGUAAGACGGUAAUGAUUACGGGAGUGAGCAGAGGACUAGGCAGAGCCUUAGCUCUAGAACUAGCCAAGAGAGGUCACACUAUUAUUGGCUGCUCUCGUGCUCAGGAUAAGCUCAAUUCCCUCCAAUCUGAACUCUCCUCCGACCAAAACAACCAACAUGUCCUCCUCAACGCCGAUGUGAGUUCUAAUACUAGUGUGGAGGAGCUGGCGAGAGCUGUAAUGGAAAAGAAGGGCGUUCCGGAUAUCAUAGUGAACAAUGCGGGUACCAUUAACAGAAACAACAAGAUAUGGGAGGUUCCAGUUGAAGAGUUUGACGCUGUAAUUGAUACGAAUGUCAAAGGAAUAGCAAAUGUUUUGCGUCAUUUCAUCCCUCUAAUGUUACCCAACAAGCAAGGAAUUAUUGUUAAUUUCUCUUCUGGAUGGGGAAGAUCCGGUGCCGCCCUGGUUGCGCCUUAUUGUGCAUCUAAGUGGGCUGUUGAGGGUUUGACCAGAUCAGUUGCAAAGGAGUUGCCUGAUGGGAUGGCAGUUGUUGCACUUAAUCCAGGAGUUAUACACACUGAAAUGCUCCAGUCAUGCUUUGGCACUUCAGCUUCACUUUACCAGGCACCCGAUGCAUGGGCCACAAAGGCAGCUACAAUGAUACUCAAUCUAACUGGAGCUGAUAAUGGUGCAUCUCUUACUGUGUGAUGAAAGUUUCUGAGGUUGCAAUGAUGCUUUAAACAGAAGCAGUUGGAGCACCUUUCUCACUGUGACCAUCUGGACAUUUAUUCAUUACGAUGAAUCAGAUGCUGAUGAGAUAAAUAUACUUUUUGAAAGAUUGUAUAGAAGCAAAACUUCCUGAUAAAGAUCUCUCACUCUUGCAUGCUCCUUGUUUCUAAUUUCAAUGUACAAGGAUGAGUAUUCCGAUGGAAGCAGGUGCAGAGUCGUGAAGAAACCUUUACCUUGGCAUCUUGAGUUGUAGUGCGAGUCGGGUUAUCUUGAUUAAACCCUCCAUUCUUCCCAAUGCUGUGAGGACAGUUGGGCCGGAACUAAAUGAUAGGAGGUAGCUUUCUUCUUCUAACCCUUAUCCCACAUCAAGUCAAUUGGCAAUUCACACAUAGGAUUAACUAUUUCUUGUAAGUUAUACAUGUAAGCUUAUGAUAAUUUGUUAGUAUCCUAGUACUGUUAGUGUUAUAUUCUUCACCAUCGCUAUUUAAAUUCUUUUUUUUCCUUUCAAUUGAUUAGAAUUGAAAAAUACAAUUAAAAUUUCCAUAUAAUUUUCUUCUGUUUUAUCAUGUAUAAGCUUGGGAAGUCAUCGAAAUAAUAUGUACUAUAUAGUUAUUAAAAUUGCAAA